This 355-nucleotide ribosomal RNA is filed under the name Micippa thalia. Its description in RNAcentral is "partial 12S ribosomal RNA". Lineage: Eukaryota; Metazoa; Arthropoda; Malacostraca; Decapoda; Mithracidae. The record is from RNAcentral.
UAUUAUACUAUAAAUUAAUAAUCAUUUUGGAAUAUUAACAGAUAUAGUCUUUAAAUUCAAAGAAUUUGGCGGUAGCUAAGUCUUGUCAGAGGAACCUGUUUUUUAAACGAUAAAACACGAAAAAUUUUACUUAUUUUUAAAGUUUGUAUACCGUCAUUAUCAGAUAAUAUUGAAAAAUUAUUAUUAAGUUUUAUAAUUUUUGCAGAAAUUAGAUCAAGGUGCAGCCUAUAAAUAAGUUAAAAUGGGUUACAAUAAAAUUUUUUUAGACGAAAAAGUAAAAGAAUAAUUACUAGGAAGGGGGAUUUGAUUGUAAUAAAAAAUCUAAUAAGAUUUUGAGAUAUAAGCUCUAAGCUAU